Molecule: non-coding RNA, 72 nt
Organism: Ictidomys tridecemlineatus (thirteen-lined ground squirrel)
Lineage: Eukaryota; Metazoa; Chordata; Mammalia; Rodentia; Sciuridae
Source: Rfam
UGGGGUGUGACUCAGUGGCAGAGUGGGUGCUCUGUAUGCAUGAGACACUGGGUUCGAUCCCCAGCACUACAC